CAGCCACACACGCUGGAAGGGGAUCGAUGAACAGAAAUAUAAUCUGGCUUUGCCAUGGCUCUCUUCCUCCUCCAACUCUGCCUCCCCUAAUUUCUAUUUCUCUAAUCCUAGUCUCAUGCUUCUGCCUUCUCUAUGUUGCUCUUCCCAAUCCCUGAUUCUACUCUCUUGAUUGUAUCCCUGGGCACUUGUAUUCUUGAGUGGAUUUGCAAUAUAUUGGUGGCACUGUGUGUGAGAGAUUUGGUGUGAUUGUGUUGGUUCGUGACAGAUCGGGGCGACGUGGGGGUGGGAGGAGAGAGCGCCGCCCAACCCGAGACGGUGGAGGACGCCGGCGGCGAGGGCAUCAUGGCGGGCGCCGCCGCCGCCGCCGCCAAGGGUUCCAGAUAUAAGCUGCAUGGCAAGAAGAGCAAAGUUGACAAUCAACCUCAAAUUAAGGAAAUCCACGAUAAAUGUGGAACAAUUAAUACAUGUAAGACUAAGGCAGAUACUAAACUUCAUGGGGGGAAAAACUGCAUAUAUCAAGAAGUUUGAUGGAACGGUGGGAGUGCCAAUAUUGAGAUCCAAAAGGGUUCCACCAUCAGAGGUAUGCUUUGAUUAUUGAUUGAAUUAUAUUGUGGAAAACCAAUGUUAGAAACUUAAAAGGCUCCAUGACAUAAUAUUUAUUUUGAUUGGCUGAUAGGACUAAAUGGCCAAGACAAUAUUUUUGAAUUUCAAAACUUUUACAUCCUUGAUCCUGGAUGUAUCGAAUACACCAUGCGAAGGUAGAUGGUCAAAGUUGUGCCUAACUGCCUAUGACCCCUCGCUGGUAACCUCAAUGCACUUUCAGUAAUUUUACUGUACAAAAUGAAGUGAAUAUCUUUUGCUUAACUUAUAGCAUACUCCCUCUGUCAAAAAAAAAAAAUCAACCUGACAAUGUAUCUGGACAUAGGGUAUGUUCAGAUACAUUGUCCUAUAAGAGGUUACAUCCCUUUAUAGGUUGAUUAUUUUUUUGGGACGGAGGGAGUAUAUGGUAUCUCUAAGAGUAGCUAGUUUAUCAUUGACGUUUAUGCCUUACGUACCAGUGCUUUUUUACUGCCUCUUACAGAGAGCAGUGCGCAUCAACUGUAUUUGUCCCUUUUUGCUGACCUUUGGCACUCUUUGGUGUUCUACUUGAGGGAUGCAGUUAGCAUGAUACUCCUGAUAUAAGGAGGAUUCAGAUGCGAUGGAGUCGUAAUACAUCAAGAGAAUCGUUUGUUGUCCUUGUGGCAGAAUUCGCAAGUCAAGGCUAACCAUAUAAUGCUUAUUUGUUCUGGUUUUUAAGAGCCUGUUCUUUAUGGUGCAAACUUCAAAAAAAAAAAAAAAAAAAAAAAACUUUGCCUCAAAAAGAACUUCAGAAAAUGCAUCUCCAACUUCAAUGGUCAAGCUAAGAAGCUAGGAGCUAGAGGUUGGAGCCGUGCCAAAGAGUCCUAACUUUCGUUGGGCCUGGCUUAUGAUACAAGAUUAACAUGAUUUUAUCUGGUUCAUUUAUUUGAUGUAUUUUUUGGUGUGGUUCUUGUUGGAAAAAGAGAUGAACCGCAGAGUGCCUUGUUCUCUCGCAGUACUUUGUGGUAGCUGAGAACAGUACUGAGUACGACUGCUGAUUACUUAAUUGGAUGCUGACAGCACUUGGUUAUUCUCUUGGUUUGCACUAAUAUGAAUGUUUUUCUUUGGACGUUUUUGGGCAGAUGAUGGACAUUGGUGGUGAAGGAGAUCCGUAGGUGCAAGAUGAGGACCAUAUGAAUUUGGUGAGACAGUUUUAGCUUUAUCAUCUUAGCAUCAGUCAAGUCUACAGAGUGGAGUUGAGGUGGUGAUUGAUGUUUGACCAUCAAGCAGGUGGUGCUUUUCGCAACUUCACCUGACCUUUUUUUUUUGUCCAAUUGCUGAGUGAAAACAUAUGUGAUGUCUCAAGUCUCUCUACCAAUGCCAGCUUUCAAUCCAGAACUUGAACAUGAAUUGCAAAACUGUAAAUGAAUUUGCUAGGAAUUUACCAUUUCAAGAAAUCUUGGAGUA
Molecule: non-coding RNA, 2025 nt
Organism: Oryza sativa Japonica Group (Japanese rice)
Lineage: Eukaryota; Viridiplantae; Streptophyta; Magnoliopsida; Poales; Poaceae
Source: RefSeq, a predicted model, not a curated record